UAUGCACGCUGGCGGCGUGCCUAAUACAUGCAAGUCGAGCGAACAGAUGAGGAGCUUGCUCCUCUGACGUUAGCGGCGGACGGGUGAGUAACACGUGGAUAACCUACCUAUAAGACUGGGAUAACUUCGGGAAACCGGAGCUAAUACCGGAUAAUAUAUUGAACCGCAUGGUUCAAUAGUGAAAGACGGUUUUGCUGUCACUUAUAGAUGGAUCCGCGCCGCAUUAGCUAGUUGGUAAGGUAACGGCUUACCAAGGCAACGAUGCGUAGCCGACCUGAGAGGGUGAUCGGCCACACUGGAACUGAGACACGGUCCAGACUCCUACGGGAGGCAGCAGUAGGGAAUCUUCCGCAAUGGGCGAAAGCCUGACGGAGCAACGCCGCGUGAGUGAUGAAGGUCUUCGGAUCGUAAAACUCUGUUAUUGUGGAAGAACAAAUGUGUAAGUAACUAUGCACGUCUUGACGGUACCUAAUCAGAAAGCCACGGCUAACUACGUG
RNAcentral lists this ribosomal RNA (497 nucleotides) under uncultured bacterium. RNAcentral's name for it is "partial 16S ribosomal RNA". It matches the Rfam family "Bacterial small subunit ribosomal RNA", at positions 29 to 507 of the family's 1533-position model. The record is from RNAcentral.